This 460-nucleotide ribosomal RNA is filed under the name uncultured bacterium. RNAcentral describes it as "partial 16S ribosomal RNA". It matches the Rfam family "Bacterial small subunit ribosomal RNA", at positions 338 to 795 of the family's 1533-position model. The record is from RNAcentral.
CCUACGGGUGGCAGCAGUGAGGAAUAUUGGUCAAUGGACGCGAGUCUGAACCAGCCAAGUCGCGUGAAGGAUGACUGCCCUCUGGGUUGUAAACUUCUUUUAUAUGGGAAUAAAACGUUCCACGUGUGGGCUUUUGUAUGUACCAUAUGAAUAAGGCUCGGCUAACUCCGUGCCAGCAGCCGCGGUAAUACGGAGGGUCCGAGCGUUAUCCGGAUUUAUUGGGUGUAAAGGGAGCGUAGGUGGAUUGUUAAGUCAGUUGUGAAAUGUUGGGGCUUAACCGGAAAAUUGCAGUUGAAACUGGCAGGCUUGAGUACAGUAGAGGUGGGCGGAAUUCGUGGUGUAGCGGUGAAAUGCGUAGAGAUCACGAAGAACACCGAUUGCGAAGGCAGUUCACUGGACAGCAACUGACACUGAGGCUCGAAAGUGUGGGGAGCAAACAGGAUUAGAUACCCGAGUAGUC